This 95-nucleotide transfer RNA is filed under the name Cognatilysobacter bugurensis. Its description in RNAcentral is "Lysobacter bugurensis tRNA-Gly". The record is from RNAcentral. Lineage: Bacteria; Pseudomonadati; Pseudomonadota; Gammaproteobacteria; Lysobacterales; Lysobacteraceae.
GCCCACGUAGAACUGUGGCGUGAGCUCAUGCUGUUCGCCGAGCAGCACGAUCGCGAGCACGAUCGCGUAGACCGGUUCGAGGUUCGUCGCGAGCU